ACUUAGAAAGACUUAUGUAUAUAAAGAAACACUAUAUUUAAUACAUAUCACAUAAAUUAUUAGAUACAUAAGAUUAAGUACUUAAAAAGACCUAAAUAUGAAACGAGACACCUUAAAUUUUGAUACAUAUAAAAAAGAAAAGUAAGAUUUGAAUGAGAUACGUAAAUAAUACUUAUAAAACUUAGAAAAGAGACACUCUAAAUAUAGAACGAAGAGGAAAAUAAGACACUUAAAUUAUCAUAUACAAAAGAUCAAGUACUUAGAAAGACUUAAACAAGGAUCCCUAUUUAUAACGGAAACAUAUGAACUAACAUUACGCUGCAGGUGCCACUUUUUUUCCAUCAUCAUCAUCGUCAUCAUCAUUUUCUAACUCUCUAUUUAGACAGAAGCUUAUUACCGGCCUUGUUAAUUCUAUCUUGUUAUAAAGAUGAAAAGAAUAUAUUUCAGUCAUUUCUACGACAAAUAUUUUUUGUUAAAAAGAUACUAAUUUGUUAGUGAUGAAGGUAUAUAUAUAUAUGUGUGAUA
RNAcentral lists this long non-coding RNA (525 nucleotides) under Solanum lycopersicum (tomato). RNAcentral describes it as "partial TCONS_00124648". The record is from RNAcentral. Lineage: Eukaryota; Viridiplantae; Streptophyta; Magnoliopsida; Solanales; Solanaceae.